UACGUAGGGUGCAAGCAUUGUCCGGAUUUAUUGGGCGUAAAGAGCUCGUAGGCGGCUUGUCACGUCGGAUGUGAAAACUCGGGGCUCAACCCCGAGCCUGCAUUCGAUACGGGCUAGCUAGAGUGUUGCAGGGGAGACUGGAAUUCCUGGUGUAGCGGUGAAAUGCGCAGAUAUCAGGAGGAACACCGGUGGCGAAGGCGGGUCUCUGGGCAACUACUGACGCUGAGGAGCGAAAGCGUGGGGAGCGAAC
Molecule: ribosomal RNA, 250 nt
Filed under: uncultured bacterium
Lineage: Bacteria
Description: partial 16S ribosomal RNA
Rfam family: Bacterial small subunit ribosomal RNA
Source: RNAcentral